UAUGAAGAACGUAGCGAAAUGCGAUACGUAAUGUGAAUUGCAGAAUUCAGUGAAUCAUCGAAUCUUUGAACGCAUAUUGCGCUCUCUGGUAUUCCGGAGAGCAUGCUUGUUUGAGUAUCAGUAAACACCUCAACUUCCAUAUCUUUUUUGAAAUGGGAGUUGGACUUGAGUGAUCCCAACGCUUUUCCUCACCGAAAAGUGGCGGGUUACUUGAAAUGCAGGUGCAGCUGGACUUUUCUCUGAGCUAUAAGCAUAUCUAUUUAGUCUGCCUAAAAAACAGAUUAUUACCUUUGCUGCAGCUAACAUAAAGGAGAUUAGUUCUUGUGCUGACUGAUGCAGGAUUCACAAAGACAGGCUUCGGCCGACUUUGUAAACUCGAUCUCAAAUCAAGUAAGACUACCCGCUGAACUUAAGCAUAUCAAUAAGCGGAGGA
This 433-nucleotide unclassified non-coding RNA is filed under the name soil metagenome. RNAcentral's name for it is "partial contains 5.8S ribosomal RNA, internal transcribed spacer 2, and large subunit ribosomal RNA". The stretch from base 2 to 120 matches the Rfam family "5.8S ribosomal RNA", at positions 36 to 154 of the family's 154-position model. The record is from RNAcentral.